Non-coding RNA from Coffea arabica (coffee), 1504 nucleotides. NCBI's taxonomy places the organism in Eukaryota, Viridiplantae, Streptophyta, Magnoliopsida, Gentianales, Rubiaceae. The record is from RefSeq and is a predicted model, not a curated record.
UUCUGCUCCGUCUUUCUUCCGUUCUUCUCCGAUUCUUUCUCCCUUUCUCUUUUCUUUGUCUUUCACUUCUUCUCUUUCUUCUUUAAUUGAACAUUAAAUAACAGUGCAAGACAAAACAAAGGUCACACGUUGGGCUUUUUCUUACAAGUUAAAGGGUGGAACGGUUGAAUAUUUACAUGGACUACAGAUUCAAGGGAUUUUUUUUAUGGAGAGCAGUGAAGGAGGGGAUGAUAAUGUUCUGGACGGUUUAGCAAGUCAAAAAAGGAAGUUUUCUGAAGCAAGACUUAUCACUUGAGAUAUGAUAAGUGAAUGGGUGAGAAAGUUGAAGUUUUGAUGUUAAAAAUCACAUUGGAAAUGGUGAUACAUUUGACCAUAAACCUUUUACGAAUGAGAAAUUUUUUUGCUUUCACUGGACUAGAAUGCACCUACUUUUACACUUUUUUUCUUCAUUCCCCCAAUUUUUUUGUCUCCUAUGUUUCAGAAUUUUUUGUCUAAAUGUUUUCUUUUAACCCGAAAAAGUAGAAAUAGGCUUUUGUGUGUGCCUAUAGGGGUUUAAAAAGUAAAGGCACUUUUAGAGUUAAAUAAAAAUGAAUGGUGCUUGUUAAAUUGGUUGCUUCGGAAUAUGACGAAAUUGGGAGGGGCAUUGCAAGAGUUAAUUCAGUUUGAGGGCGUUCUCCAGUUAUGAUUCUGGGUACUCGUGUAUUUGCCAUACUACCUAUCUUUACUGCCUUGAAAUUUAGCGGGGUUCUAUCUAUCUCUAUUGAUUGCAGUUAUUAUUUCUUAGCAGCUGAAAUGUCUUAAAUUUAGCGGAUAGAGCAGCUGAUGUUCUAUGUUCAAAUUUCCCAACUCUUGUUUAGUUGUUGUUUCGGUUUUUCAAAAUAACUGAAAUCGUCAAUUUUCUUGGUUCUUGUUCAUGUCUCUGCCAUUGCAAGGGGACUUUGACUGCCAUUUCCAGGUUAUCUUUGUGAACUCUUUACCCUUUCUUCCAUAUUUUUCUUGCACGAUGAGGUGGAAUAGUUACAAGCUAUCAGAAUGUAUCACUUCAAGAGGUGGAAACAUUUUCAAUUCUGAUUUUUUUGUACCUGAGCACAAGAAUGUAUAGAAGGAAGAAAGAUGACAACACCUACCUUUCAUUCUUUUCUGUUCUGUAGAGAAUUCAACUCGGACAUAUUAUUGCUUGUACACUUGCUGUUCGGCCUGUAGUUUUGCUUGCUUCCUUUUUCUAGAGAUGUUAGUCUUAUUUUUGUUUUUUCAGCUUUUGGUUAUUUGUCAACCUUAUUGAUGGGUUGCAAUAUUUACUUUUCUUUUCUUUUUUUUUAUCAACUCAAUAGUGGCAAGGAGAGUAAACUAAUUUGUUUUCUUAGGUAAUUUGUAGUUUGCCUUUUAUUGGAACUUUAUUUUGGUUGGCAAUGUCAACCUAGCCAGUUACCAGUGCCACUGGUAAUGAAGCUAUUUUUUAAUUCUUUGUAAUGAUGAUGAUCCUUAAAGGAUAUCAAUAAAUCAA